Molecule: long non-coding RNA, 530 nt
Filed under: Ananas comosus (pineapple)
Lineage: Eukaryota; Viridiplantae; Streptophyta; Magnoliopsida; Poales; Bromeliaceae
Description: long non-coding RNA (ACOM_LNC010328)
Source: RNAcentral
CAAUUGCAUAUAUACUUCUGAAAAUUUUCGACUUUCUGAUUUACCCCUUUUAGAAGGCUAAUAUUGAAAAUAUCCUUUUUACGUUCCAACCUAUUUUAAAUAUACCACUAGAGUUAAAUUCUGUUAAUGAACUGUUAAAAUAGUUGUUAUUUCUAAAAAAUUAAUAUUUUUUCCUUUCAAAUAUACCCUUCUAUCAUCACCCGUUUUUUUUAUUUGCCCUUAAGUUAGGGGUACAAAAAAUAUUUUGAUUUUUGAUCUUUUCAAGCAUACCUUUUUACCAUCACCAAUAUUUCUUAUUCGCCCUUAAGUUAAGGAUAAAAAAGAUAUUUUGAUUUUUUUUUUUAACUCAAAUAGAUACUUAACUCAGGUUUAACCUAAGUUAACUUAACAUGUGAUAAUUGCAGGGGUAUUUUGGAAUAACAGAAGAACAAAUGAAGGGUAUAAUAAAAAAGAAAAAAAAAAGUAGUGGUAAAUUAGAUAUUUCUAAAGUUUUGAGUGGUAUAUAGCCAAUUAUCUUUUUUUUUUUUUAA